GCCUACGGGGCGCAGCAGUGGGGAAUAUUGCACAAUGGGCGAAAGCCUGAUGCAGCAACGCCGCGUGAACGAAGAAGGCUCUUGGGUCGUAAAGUUCUGUUCUGAGGGAAGAAGAAAGUGACGGUACCUCAGGAGAAAGCCCCGGCUAACUACGUGCCAGCAGCCGCGGUAAUACGUAGGGGGCAAGCGUUGUCCGGAAUUACUGGGUGUAAAGGGAGCGUAGGCGGGACGGCAAGUCAGAUGUGAAAACUGAGGGCUCAACAUUCAGACUGCAUUUGAAACUUCUGUUAUUGAGUGAAG
Molecule: ribosomal RNA, 300 nt
Filed under: uncultured bacterium
Lineage: Bacteria
Description: bacterial SSU rRNA
Rfam family: Bacterial small subunit ribosomal RNA
Source: RNAcentral